AUUGAACGCUGGCGGCAUGCCUUACACAUGCAAGUCGAACGGCAGCACGGGAGCAAUCCUGGUGGCGAGUGGCGAACGGGUGAGUAAUAUAUCGGAACGUGCCCAGUCUGGGGGAUAACGUAGCGAAAGCUACGCUAAUACCGCAUACGAUCUAUGGAUGAAAGCGGGGGAUCGCAAGACCUCGCGCGAUUGGAGCGGCCGAUAUCAGAUUAGGUAGUUGGUGNGGUAAAGGCUCGCCAAGCCGACGAUCUGUAGCUGGUCUGAGAGGACGACCCAGCCACACUGGGACUGAGACACGGCCCAGACUCCUACGGGAGGCAGCAGUGGGGAAUUUUUGGGACAAUGGGCGCAAGCCUGAUCCAGCAAUGCCGCGUGCAGGAUGAAGGCCU
Molecule: ribosomal RNA, 389 nt
Filed under: uncultured bacterium
Lineage: Bacteria
Description: bacterial SSU rRNA
Rfam family: Bacterial small subunit ribosomal RNA
Source: RNAcentral